GAUUUAGCAAGUAAAUAAGAAAUAAACUUUUAGUAUAAGUAUAUCCCAUGCAAUAAUUGGGACAUACUUAUACCAAAACACCAUUCGUUGCUUAUCUGAAAUUCAAAUAUAACUAGGCAUCCUG
RNAcentral lists this microRNA precursor (124 nucleotides) under Choloepus hoffmanni (Hoffmann's two-fingered sloth). Its description in RNAcentral is "miRNA (ENSCHOG00000015005.1)". The stretch from base 27 to 78 matches the Rfam family "mir-1302 microRNA precursor family". The record is from RNAcentral. Lineage: Eukaryota; Metazoa; Chordata; Mammalia; Pilosa; Megalonychidae.